Molecule: long non-coding RNA, 3388 nt
Organism: Triticum aestivum (bread wheat)
Lineage: Eukaryota; Viridiplantae; Streptophyta; Magnoliopsida; Poales; Poaceae
Exons: 4
Source: RefSeq, a predicted model, not a curated record
CCGCAGACACCCUGGGCCACAUCGAGGGCUAACGGGCCUGUUCUGGGAGUUCAUCGUGGCGGAACUUUUGCAAUCCUCUGUCUGCUCCCCUGCGCACUCUCCAUCGCCCCCAGAGCUACACACCCAAUCCCUCGCUCUCUCGGCGAGAUCCAAGACGGCCGCGUCAGCUGGGAGCGGACGCACGCGAGAGGAGUUCGAUGAGCGUGAGCUGGAGGUGGCUGCCAUUCUCGCGGAACUGUAGUCCAUCGUGCGGGCCAGUCAGUAGGAGUCAGGCGCGGCCAGAGAUCCCCUCAUGGGGCCGGCGCCAGCCGAGGAAGGCCCUAGCGGCACCGCCGUCCGAGAAGCCCGCGGCAGAUAGCCCGGACACCCCAGAUAGCCGGACGACGAGGCGGCGGCAGUGCAUGACAAGUCGGCGUAGGAGCAGUGCGGCGAUUUUGACGAGUAGGAGAUGGAGCACGUCACAAGCACCCCGACUGCACCCUGAGGUUAUCCAUCAGGUAGACUAUCAUCACACUGCGGUUCAUGAUGCUGCUCCCAAGCUUCCCGGCAAGAUUGUGCGAGUCACAACUUGCAUGACGCAGAUUCUUUUGCUAUACUUCGGAAGCCGGCAAUAGCAGCGGCAACAUCGACGACGCAUCCACGGGCUGGACAAAACUUGAUUAGCUUACUACUGCAUCAAUAAUUUGUGCCUGCAGGACUCUUUCACAGAUCAUGUCAACGAGAUUACCAAUUUGAAGAGGCUGCACAUGAUCUGAAAAUAUUGGCAUAUACAGUCCUGAACAUAAGUUUCAAAAUAGCAAGUCCGUUGUAGCAGUCAAUUUUCCUAAUGUACAGUAACCUCAUUUGCAUCUGCCUAACCUUUCCUAACUACCUCUCUGUGGUUGGUUGAAGGUGUGGAGUUUAGUCUUGUUCCGCUGUGAGGAAAGCCAUGACCUCCACACAGAUGAUGCAAGUGGAAACAAGCUAGACUCUCAACUUUGGUUUUCAGGCAUCUUCACCAACAAAUAUUACCCUGGUACUGACAGGUUGUUAGUAUUAUAUAAGUAUACUUGUUCAGCCUUUCCAUUGCUGGUCCGAAUAUUUAAACAAGGAAGCAGGCCCAGUUGCUCACCAACCUACUAUUGCUGCCAAUAAGUAGCCAGAAGCCUAUAGAGUGAUAGAAGACAUCUGCAUUGAUCACAGAAAAAUGAAGUAUUGAAUUUGUAGGAUGUUGUCAACAUUGUCAUCCUAAUCUGGUUCCCACAUAUUCAAGAUGUGGAGAUUAGCCCUUUGCUCCAACAAAGCCAUGACCUUCAAUUUUGUUGUUAAUUUAACAACUGUCUUGGUUGUGCCGAUCGAUCGGCCUAUAAGAUCCAAUUUGGUCCUGUGAACUAAAGCUUCCUAUUUUUCAUGAUUAUAUUAAGAGCUUCCUAUAUUUCAUGAUUAUAUUAAGAACUCACAUAUCUCCUUCAGUGCCACACCUGACCGGCACAUCAUCCAGAUUCAAGAGAGCCCUACUACUGCAUCCACCCUAGAAUCAUAUCUCCGUCUCGUGUGAACCAAUUUUAAGCCCGAUUGAUGGCAAGUGCAUUGCAUGUCAAAUCGAGGACUUCAGAGCCUGGCUGCAGGCCUCGCGAGCACCAAUGACAGCCUCAAGCAGAUUCAGCAGAGCAAGGUGAUGAGUACCCAGCUGGCUGGUCAAUCUGAAUAAUCUUAUUGGCCAGCAAAGCGGAGAUGGAUGACCACGGUCCUGACCUUAGCAGCAGACAGAGACAGUAAAUGGGAUCAAGGGAAGUUGGUAGGGCUCCAGCGGCACAUGCUUACCAGUUACCACUGCUGGCUGUUAGCGGGAAAGGUAUGUUGGUUUGACUUUUUCAAGAUCCCGAACUAAAACAAGUCACCUGCGACAUUUGAGUGAUGCAAAGGUUUGCUGUCUCUUCCCAGGAAAUUGUGUGCAGAGAAGCUGCCUUGAUUUUUAAUACUGAACCUAUUUUUGCAGAACCAAACACUAACGAUAAGAGAGAUGAAUGUGCAGUAUGCUAAAUUUGGGUAUCCAACUACAGAAGAAAUGGAUUUUUAUUUAUAUUAGAAGCUAGGUUAUCACUUUUGAUUUUAAAUUGAUCGCUCAUGGACAGUGGCAUCUUAAUUGGCCAUAAACACAGCCUAAUUCAAUACCUCCCUUCAAAUUUGCAACUAAAGGGAAGGUGAGUUUAAAUGUCUCAGCCCCUGUGACCUGGCUGGCCUUUGUGUUAGAAGAUUCAAAGGGAAUGAAAAGUUGGAGGCAACAAGGCCACCUCUUAUCUGGGUUCUUUACAUAAAAAUAGUGAGGGUCAUAUAACCUGCCAUCGAUUUUGAUAAUUUCAUCAUGUCCCACCAAUUUAUACAUGUGUAUGAUUCGAAAUCAAUAAGCCAACUCAAGGAGUGGGUCCCGGAAUACAAGCAGGAAGAAAAGAGAAGGAAUUAAAAGGAGUAAACUCGGCUCUUAUGUAAGCAAUAAGGAAAGAAAUUAUUCCACUCAUAAGGAAAGAGAAGGAAUUAAAGGAAGUAAAUUCGGCUCUCAUGUAAGAAAAAUGGAAAGGAAUUAUUCCACUCAUAAGGAAAGAGAAGAAAUUAAAAUAAGGAGAAAACUCGGCUCUUAUAUAAGCAGAAAGAAAAGAAAUUAUUUCACUCAUAAGGAAAGGGAAGAGAUUAAAAGGAGUAAAUUCGGCUCUUAUAAAGCAAAAAAUGAAAGAAAUAUGAAGGAAUAAAAUUUGCUCUUAUGUAUGAGCAUUAAAGGAAAAGAAUAAAAAGAACGAUGCUGUUGCUGGAUGUGCACGGGCCGAGAAGGGAGCAAUUAAAAUAAAUAACAUCGGUUGCGUGCGUGCACUUGCACAUGGUCUAAUUCAAUGGCCCUUCUCUUCUCGCAUACAAAAUAGUUGGCCGGCAAUGACCAUUCAUACUUUUCUGUUGUUUUGAAUCUGUGGGGUACAUAUAAAUUAUGCUUGGUUAUUUUUAUAUUACAUCCCAUAUUAUGUGUACUCAUUUGAUCUAAGGUUAUUUUUAAUAACUUGGUUUUUUUUGUCACAAACAAACCGAUGAACCGGCGGUCCAACUUGUGACAGCUGCAACGGUUUGGUUGCCCGUUCGCUUUUAAAAAUAUAGUCUGAUGGCCAUGGUGAAAGAACACGACAUGAAGUGCUUUGUAUCCCUAGAACGAUGAGGAGACACGAGUAUGAAGUGUUUUGUUUGGGCCAAGCACUGCCGCCGCCUGCUCGUGUCUCCUCGUCAUUCAAUAUGUCCUAAAAAUGUACCAAUUUUUUUAAAUGUUUGUAUUUAAGAAUAUUUUCAAAAAUUAUAUAAAUCAAAAUUAUUUUUAAAAAUCAUGUGUUAAAAAAUGUGAAUUGUAAAAAAUCCCAUUUAAAAAAUGAUA